This is a long non-coding RNA of Orcinus orca (killer whale), 6495 nucleotides long. RefSeq lists it as uncharacterized. Lineage: Eukaryota; Metazoa; Chordata; Mammalia; Artiodactyla; Delphinidae. The record is from RefSeq and is a predicted model, not a curated record. The transcript is spliced from 20 exons.
GGGAGGGAAAUAUGAAUUUGCCAUACCCGACCAGACGAAACGAACUUGUUUUCUGCCAGCAAUACCCACAGCUCUCUUUUAGGCACUGGUACUUCCCUUAAUUUCUAGAUAGGUCACAGAAGCUAGAUUAUCUGUCUCAUCUAAGGACACACUAGCAAAUGGCAGAGUCAAGACCAAACCAUUGCUGAUUCCAAAGCCCAUGUUCUUUCUAAUCUACCCCACUACCUUGGCUUACCAUUUAUGCAUUUCAUUUUUUAGUGCUGGAGAAAGGGGUUAAAAAUAGCUUUAUUUCUAUUUCUCCCUAUAAGAGCAAAGUCAAUGCACACGUUGGUACAAUAAUAAUAACAGAACUCACAGGGGUUGUGCUCCUCCUUUGCGCCAGGUCUGGGCCACAUGCCUUGGAGGAGUUAUCUUAUUUCGUCUUUACAGCUCCGUGGAGUAGGUACAAGCAUUUGGGAUCUCCUUUUACAUGUGAGGGCACUGAGGCCCUCCCAGGUUAUGUAUACAUGCUCGAGGCCACGCAGUUAGAGAGGGGAGCUGGGCUCGGAAGCCAGCAGAGUGACUCCCCCGCCUGCCUCAGUCACUGUCCCAUCCAGGCAGUUCUUACUGGGAAGUCAUUAGAAGAACACUCAGAGUUUCUGACAGCAAUUUUGCUAAGAGAUAUUGAUUCGUUAACUAUUUUAACUUGCUCUUUGUUUCCUCUUUUUACUUACUCUUGUCCUCAACCAUCGUAUCUGUGAAACCAUUGUUUUAAUGUGCUAGUUUCAGAUUUUCUAAUAUACAUGAAACUAAACACACAUUAAAAUAAAUGAAAAAGUGAUAAAAUAAAAUUUAAAAAUUCAUCUGUAUACCACCUACCAGUAACUUUUAUGCUCUGCCAGUGGUAAGAAUAUUUUCCUCCAUCACUGUUCAGACAUAUCACUUGUUAAUGAGGUAGAAAAAGGUCAGAUCAUACCCAACACUUCUGAAUGGGGAAGAAAGAGGCAGGACCCGGACUCAAGGAUUCGCCUCCAGACCUUUCCCUCUGCACCACCAGCCUCCCUCCUGUGCCUCCUCUAUGUUCCCUGGAAUCCCGAGGGUGCAGCUGGGGGCUUCAGAAAGCUUCAAGGAUUCCCAUGCUCCUUGGAAUCGAGCCCAGAAAUGGAAAUCUGAUAUAGAGCUAGUGAGGCAAUGAAGCCCAGCCUUUGAAAACGGACAGACCUGCCAUGGAGUAAGAGGUAGCCCUGAGGCAAACCCUGCCCCCCACGGCCCACUCCCAGAGUGAGGAGACUUCAGGCCAUUCCCACUCAUCCAUGGGGCUAGAAGACUGAAUGUGGCAGCCACCCGCAAGCCUGCUGACCGGCUCCAUAGCAGAGUAAUAUCCAGAGAAAGAGGCUUUGAGGUGUUAAGAGGCCAUGUGGGGAACCCCAUGUGGCAGGGAACUGUGAGCAGCCUCUUGGAGCUGAUGACAUCCUUGACUGACAGCCAGCAAGAAGCUCUCGGUCCUACCAGAGGAAGGAAUUGAAUUCUGCCAACAACUUAAGUGAGCUUAGAAGUGAGUCCUUACCCACACAAGUCCCAGCACGUGUGGCAAGAAUUGGGAUAUGCUGAAUUGGAAGAAGGAAAAAAAGUAAAAAUAUUAGCAAAAUAGUUUAAAGGAUAAGCUAUAAGAGAAGAUGGAAACAACUGACAGUGAUCCAAAAGGGAAACAUUAAGGCAAGAGGAAAUGUUAAUGUAGGCUAAAAACACUUCUGCCUGGGAAGAAAAUGACAAAUUCCCCUAAAGGGCGAUUCACACGCAAUAAUAAGCAUAGUAAGAGUUGAAUGCACACCUACUGAAUUAAACAACAAGAAUAUUGACUGAAUUAAACCACAAGAAUAUUGAAAAUGAUUAGUUAGCAUAUGGGAUCUUCAUUGUACCAAACUUUUAUUCAUUCAGCAAAUAUUAGCAUGCAGUAACUCUUUUAUAGUUCACGGCAACUCCAUGAGGUAAAUAAUGUUGUCAUUCUCCAUUUUACAGACAAGGAGGCUGGAAAAGCUUAUGGAACUUGCCCAAAUCGCAUGGCUAGAAAGUAAAAGAGCUGGGUUUUGAAUUCAGGACUCUCUGAUCCUAAUUUUCUCGCAUUUAAUAUAAGAAAUCUCAAGGGCUAUGGUGGUAAUAGAAAGGAAAUGCAGGGCACAGCCUAUGUUAAGAAAUGCCCACGUGCAGAUGGAAGGAAAGACAAUGAGCUAUUCUUAGGGGCUGAGGAGCACAGCAGUUGCAGAAAAUGCCCCAGAGGGAUGAGGCACCAAGAUAGAGUGUGAGAACUGCUCUCAGGAUAAAACAGUAAGAAUUGUGGAUCCCCUGUUCUUUGAUUUUUAAAACCACUAUGCCAAUAUUGGAGCAAAUUAAAGAGAUUACCUGCAUCAGAAUCACUUGGGAAUCCUGUUAAAGUCCAGAUCCCUGCACCAGACUUCAGACCAUUUUUAACAAGCCACCAUUGACUGGGAUGCAUACCAAAGCUAGAGAAAGAUUCUGCACUAAGAUGUGAGUAGGGGACACUCCUCACUUAUAGUAACAACCAUAGCGACAGAAUGUGUUUGAGUAACACUGACAAGAAGGUUAGCUCACUGGGGAGCCCAAAUCACAUAUUUAUCCAGCCCAAAUCCACGGCAUGGGUAAAAAAUUUUUUAAAGACCAUGAAUAAGGUGAUCCCCCCACUCCACCCUAAACAACCCAAGCGAAUGAAUGAAUGAAUAAGACAUGAUAUAAGCUGAAACAUGUGCCCCUGGACUGGUCCCCCUGGAUGAGGCUGCAGUGAAUGGAGGUGAACACAGCACUGACUCUGCUGGGCAUCCACAGCUGGAUCACAAAAAUAGAGGCUGGUGCAUGUCCCGUCAGCAGUAGCCAAGCCAGAGGGAAGGCUGGGUGGACUGUCAAUUUCAGAAACGCCAGAAAGGUGCCUGAAAUUUGAGAAUUUCUAGAACAAAAAAGAUUCUAUGCUUUUUUUAUCUCUACAUGUUGGAUGUGUUUUUCAUUCAUGUUAUUCUACAUACAGCAUGACUUUUGGUACAGGGUAUCAAAGAAGUGGUCAAGCUGCUCAUGAGAUUGUGGCCAGUCUUGCCUCUUCUAGCUAGAUAAAGGCUGUGGAACACUGGAUUUCACCUUCUUCACUUAAAAUUUUUUUCCAGCUUUAUUGAGAUGUAAUUGACAUACAACAUUGUAUACAAUGUUUAAGAAUACAAUGUGUUGAUAUGAUAUAAUUAAUAUGUUGCAAAAUUAUAACCACUGUAGUGUUAGCUGACACUUCCAUCAUGUCACAUAAUUGCCAUUUCUCUUCUGUGGUAAAGACAUUUCAGGUCUACUCAGUUAACAACUUUCAGGUAUACAAUACAUUAUUGUUAACUAUAAUCACCAUGCUGAAUGUCAGAUUUCCAGAACUUCGUCUUCUAACUAGAAGCUUGUAUCCUCACCUUCUUUGAUUUUAUACUUCCUGGUAAAAGGGUGAAAUGCAGACUGUAGAUGAAACAGAGAGAUGACUUGUUAAGGAAUCUAAUGGACCCUUUCCUCUCUGCCAUUUCUGUAGAAAGGUUUUAUUCCAGCAUCUGUAUUUUAUCCCAGCUUCUUACAAGUCUCUCUUAAUACAGACCAUUGCCUGAAUCCCUGGAGCCCGUGUACUUCUAAGGCAUCCCUGCGGUGUGUUUACUGUUAUUACUCUAGCCAACAGACGUGAAACUGAGAUGAUAUUUCUAGAAAUAAAAUGGCUCCUCAUUUCCCUACCUGUCUCAGAAUCACACUGGAUCCUGAAACAAAGCCAGGAACACCACUCAUAGCAACUCUCUAGCUGCAAGGAGAUUUGUUUUCAAAGCACCUGACAAGCUACAUCUGAUUCAUCCUCGAAACCGACUUGUCAGGGGAAUAAACACCAAGUGUCGGAACUUCCCAAGAAAUCUAGUGAUGAAAAGCCCUUUAACAAUGAACAAAUUAAAUUCAGUUCUAACGCCAGGAACAGAAAGAAAGCGAAAUGAAGAGGCACAGAAGAGCAAGACCAGGACUACUUCCCAGAACUUCUGCUGCCAGUGUCCUUGUCCCCACGGUGAGCCACAGCCACCCCCCACCUCUGCAGAACCUCCAACACUAGCAGGUACUGUAUACAUUUGAUGAUCUAGGAUUUAAGUCCAUGGCCCUUCCAUUACCGAGAAGUAGAACGGAGGCAGCAUGGGGCUUGCUGGUGCAGACAUCUCAUCAUUCCAAGCAGUGGUAGCCACCAAGAAGAAAGGAGAUGAGAAGGUGAAGCAAAAAAGAAGGGAGGAAGGGAAAGAGGAAAGGUACAGAUAUACAAGAAGCUAAAGGGAAGAGCAGAGCCAACGAGGGCUUUCCACUCUUCACCGACAAUGGCAAAAUGCCUUCUCAUCUGAAUGGCUCCCAUGCUUCACUCCAUUGGAGAACUUCCCUUCUCUCACCCCUUCAGUCUACACUCGGGCUCUUUGCAGGCACCUCUUCUCCCACCUCCUCUGCCUGCCCCCGGCUGAGCAGAGUGCCCCUCCUGUGCAUUGUGCAUUCUGCCAUGCUUUGUUCUGCCCACUAGGCUGGAUCGUGUGGCAGAAGCCCCAUCAGUGUCUGCUGAGCUGGACUGCUAAAAGGUUCUGCACCUCUCACAGAUCCAGGGUGUAAACUGAAGAGUAUAUACUUCCUGGGGAUGAGUUCACAUCACCCAAGUCUAUGCAACUGACACAAGCACACUGGUUGAAAUACGUAUUGGUGAUAUCUUUGGCAUUGCUCAGAACAGUCCAGAGCGGGCCGUUGCUUAUCCAUCUCUGCAUGUCCCCAGGAGGCAGUUCUUCUCUCUGCGCACCUCUGACACUUGGGACUAGAGCUGGCCUCCAUUUGGCCAGUAGGUGGCAUGAGAAACACGGAUCACAGGACAAGGACUAGUUCUUUACAUUUCUUUUGUAGACAUCAUGACCAAGGACUGCGCUCUACACGACCCAGUCGAGGUCUCUGAGGCCCUGGAGGAUGGCAGAGCCACACGAUGAAAGCGACUAGGUCCGUGCAUCACUCUGUGGAGCAUAGUGCUUCCCCCACACUGGCCUGGGACGUGAGAAAGAAAGCCUCCGCCUACGUGUCCCACUGCUCCUCGCUCCACCUUUGCCUGCGCUCCUGGAACACCCACGUGACCUUCUGCCUGGAGCCCCCACGAGACCUCAAGGAUUGCAGGCUUUCAUCCUUAGUCUGAAGCUUUAUUUCAGAAAACAAGUUGGAAGAAAAGAAGGGUAUCUGGAAAACUUACCUCAAGAAACAUUUUUUCCAUGAAACUCUCAUUGAACCUUGGAGUCCUGAACAGGCAUAGCACCUUGGAGGGCAGACAUUGCUGUGCCUGAGAAUAAGAGAGCCCCUGUGGUUUCCUUCUCAGCUCCGUGCUUUACAAAUGAUGCACCUUUGUGUCUUUACAGCAGAGACUAUGGUCUAGUCCUCUCCUGGGUGCUCUGGUCCAUUGCCAAGUCCUCUAAAGCCUGAUGGCACUGUCCUCGCAGCCUGAGAGCAAAAUAACGUGGUGUUAAGGCCCAGGAAGCAAGCUCAUCUUGUACAAACCUGUUCCAGCCCCAGAAGCAACCAUUUCUUUGAGGAGCCCUAGUUCUUUUUGGUGGGCGAAGGUACUAGAGAUUAAGAUCUGGGCACCAGAUUGAAGCCAUCUCUGCAAGGGCAGGGACUUGAUCUUAUCCAUGGCUGCCUUCCCAGGACCUGAACAAGCAUCCUCAGAAACAUCAGGCACUGGUUUACCUGGUUGGGAUUCAGCAAUAAACCAGACCACGUGGGUGCUGACUUCAUGGAACCCAUAUUCCAGUGCAGAAGACAGAUAAACAAUUAGUGAAUGGAUUCAUGAGUAAUUUGAGGUAUCGGCCAGUACUAUGAAGACAUUUUAUUCAGGAGAAGUGGAGAACAAGUGAUAGCACAGUGGAGCUUCACCACUUUGUAACCAGAGAGAUGAUUCGCUUAAAAUACUCCACGGAUGGCCAAGGCCCAGCCUGCGUCGUUGCCUUUCUUGGGACCAAUUUCUCUGGCCAGAGAAGGACUCCUUCCCACUCUACCCACCACACUUGGCCGCAGCACCAAUCCACCACGAGUUUAGCUGAGGAUUUGUUUCCCUUUAAGGAGCUGAGGUACGCCUGAAGCCGCCAGCAGCCAUCUUGUCUGAAAAUGGAAUCAACGGGAGCAAAGCAGAGGAUUUACCUACAGGAAUUAAAGCAUUAGCAAGUUCCUGAGCGCAAGGAAAUGAACGCAUUCCAAUGCGUGACGGCAAAGCCCAGGAUCGCAAAGAGAGUGAUUCAGAUGCCAUUACUGAACUAGUAGAACCUGCUUUUAAUGGCCAGAAGAUGUUCAUUUCCUGAGGCUCGGGACCGCUGAUGCUCCCGAUCCCCUUGGUGUAUGAAGAGGACAUAACGCACAACAACCUGAAAUGCACCGGGAAGUGGAUAUCCCACCCUGGAGACGCGGGAUUAUUAGAGUGAGGGACAUGGUGAGAAGACUGCCUCACAA